This 460-nucleotide ribosomal RNA is filed under the name uncultured bacterium. RNAcentral describes it as "partial 16S ribosomal RNA". It matches the Rfam family "Bacterial small subunit ribosomal RNA", at positions 338 to 795 of the family's 1533-position model. The record is from RNAcentral.
CCUACGGGUGACAGCAGUGAGGAAUCUUGGUCAAUGGGCUUACGCCUGAACCAGCCAAGUCGCGUGAGGGAAGACUGCUCUAUGGGUUGUAAACCUCUUUUGUCAGGGAGCAACGCCGGCUACGUGUAGCCGGACUGAGAGUACCUGAAGAAAACGCAUCGGCUAACUCCGUGCCAGAAGCCGCGGUAGUACGGGGGAUGCGAGCGUUAUCCGGAUUUAUGGGGUUAAAGGGGUGCGUAGGCGGAAUGCCAAGUCAGCGGGAAAAUCGCGGGGCUCAACCUCGCUCCGCCGUUGAAACUGGCGUACUUGAGUGGGCGAGAGGUAUGCGGAAUGCGUGGUGUAGCGGUGAAAUGCAUAGAUAUCACGCAGAACUCCGAUUGCGAAGGCAGCAUACCGGAGCCCAACUGACGCUGAAGCACGAAAGCGUGGGUAUCGAACAGGAUUAGAUACCCGAGUAGUC